CCUAAUACAUGGAAGUCGAGCGAGCUGAAUUCAAAGAUUCCUUCGGGAUGAUUUGUUGGACGCUAGCGGCGGAUGGGUGAGUAACACGUGGGCAAUCUGCCCUAAAGACUGGGAUACCACUUGGAAACAGGUGCUAAUACCGGAUAACAACAUGAAUCGCAUGAUUCAAGUUUGAAAGGCGGCGCAAGCUGUCACUUUAGGAUGAGCCCGCGGCGCAUUAGCUAGUUGGUGGGGUAAAGGCCUACCAAGGCAAUGAUGCGUAGCCGAGUUGAGAGACUGAUCGGCCACAUUGGGACUGAGACACGGCCCAAACUCCUACGGGAGGCAGCAGUAGGGAAUCUUCCACAAUGGACGCAAGUCUGAUGGAGCAACGCCGCGUGAGUGAAGAAGGUUUUCGGAUCGUAAAGCUCUGUUGUUGGUGAAGAAGGAUAGAGGCAGUAACUGGUCUUUAUUUGACGGUAAUCAACCAGAAAGUCACGGCUAACUACGUGCCAGCAGCCGCGGUAAUACGUAGGUGGCAAGCGUUGUCCGGAUUUAUUGGGCGUAAAGCGAGCGCAGGCGGAAUGAUAAGUCUGAUGUGAAAGCCCACGGCUCAACCGUGGAACUGCAUCGGAAACUGUCAUUCUUGAGUGCAGAAGAGGAGAGUGGAACUCCAUGUGUAGCGGUGGAAUGCGUAGAUAUAUGGAAGAACACCAGUGGCGAAGGCGGCUCUCUGGUCUGCAACUGACGCUGAGGCUCGAAAGCAUGGGUAGCGAACAGGAUUAGAUACCCUGGUAGUCCAUGCCGUAAACGAUGAGCGCUAGGUGUUGGGGACUUUCCGGUCCUCAGUGCCGCAACAAACGCAUUAAGCGCUCCGCCUGGGGAGUACGACCGCAAGGUUGAAACUCAAAGGAAUUGACGGGGGCUCGCACAAGCGGUGGAGCAUGUGGUUUUAUUCAAAGCAACGCGAAGAACCUUACCAAGUCUUGACAUCCUGCGCUACAC
This 984-nucleotide ribosomal RNA is filed under the name Lactobacillus delbrueckii subsp. bulgaricus. Its description in RNAcentral is "bacterial SSU rRNA". It matches the Rfam family "Bacterial small subunit ribosomal RNA", at positions 47 to 998 of the family's 1533-position model. The record is from RNAcentral. Lineage: Bacteria; Bacillati; Bacillota; Bacilli; Lactobacillales; Lactobacillaceae.